Molecule: long non-coding RNA, 833 nt
Organism: Acyrthosiphon pisum (pea aphid)
Lineage: Eukaryota; Metazoa; Arthropoda; Insecta; Hemiptera; Aphididae
Exons: 2
Source: RefSeq, a predicted model, not a curated record
AAGCGUCAAAACAAAAUAAAACAAUUAUUAAGAAAAUAAGUAGGUGAUAAAUUUUAUUUGAAAAAACUGAAAAAAAUCGUUUCCAAAUUAUUAUCAAUCUACUGAACACGGUUUGUUAACAGUUGAUAAGGUUUUAAAUGAUAAUAAUAUUGAUGCAUAUAUUGCGAUAGUGGAGGGGGCUGGUUAAAUGAGCCGACCAUGACACGUUUUCAAAUUACGCUGACCGUUCUGCGCAUGCGCUAGUGACAUAUCAUAAAUUGAAAUCUCUUAUCUGUUAUCAGGUAUCAGGUUAUCAGCUGUACAAGUUGUUUACAAUGAGUAAUUAGUAAUUACAACCAUUUAAUAAUUAUUAAUCGUUUAAUUAUGUUUAAUAUUGAUUUUACUUAAGUUAUCUUAUAAUAUAAUAUAAUACAUUUUAAAGUAUUGUGGUAAAAGAGCAUUUGGAUACAUAGAUUUAUGUAAUAAAAUAAUAGUGUAAGAUGGAAGCCAAACUCAAUAUAAAUUGGGCAAUUGAUGACAAUUUCAACAACGAUAUUCAAGACAACAUGCAAUGGAUGAUUGGACGCUGUCUGCUUUUUUUUUUUUUAAUUGUAAUGUAAUACAUAAAAAAUAAUUAAGUAAUAAUAAUAAUAAUCAGUCAUGUAUAAAUUAUUAUUAUUAUAAUUUGUAGAAAAAAAGUUAUUUAGAGGAAUUAUUUUCUUAUUAGGUGAGAUCUUUGUUUAUUUUGAACUCUUUACUUGGUGCAGAUUGUUUUUGUUAUUAGAAUAAAUUAAUUAUUACAUAUUAGUAAAAUGUUUUAAGUAAAGCGCAUAAUAAAAUAUUAUUUUAUAUAA